RNAcentral lists this transfer RNA (105 nucleotides) under Colletotrichum orbiculare MAFF 240422. Its description in RNAcentral is "tRNA-Gln for anticodon UUG". It matches the Rfam family "tRNA". Rfam says of the family: Transfer RNA (tRNA) molecules are approximately 80 nucleotides in length. Their secondary structure includes four short double-helical elements and three loops (D, anti-codon, and T loops). The record is from Rfam by way of RNAcentral. Lineage: Eukaryota; Fungi; Ascomycota; Sordariomycetes; Glomerellales; Glomerellaceae.
GGGGUUGUAGUCCAGUGGUAAGACGUCCUCUCUUGAAAAAGUAUCCUUACAAAUACCCCCUGACAUCAAGAGAGGAAGACGGUGGUUCGAUUCCGCCCUGCUCCA